RNAcentral lists this ribosomal RNA (486 nucleotides) under uncultured bacterium. RNAcentral's name for it is "bacterial SSU rRNA". It matches the Rfam family "Bacterial small subunit ribosomal RNA", at positions 28 to 507 of the family's 1533-position model. The record is from RNAcentral.
GAUGAACGCUAGCGGCAGGCUUAACACAUGCAAGUCGAACGGCAGCACAGGUAGCAAUACUGGGUGGCGAGUGGCGCACGGGUGCGUAACGCGUAUGCAACCUACCUCUAUCUGGGAGAUAGCCCGAAGAAAUUCGGAUUAAUACCCCAUAAUAUAUGUCUUUCGCAUGUUAGACAUAUUAAAGCUUUGGCGGAUAGAGAUGGGCAUGCGUGACAUUAGCUAGUUGGUAAGGUAACGGCUUACCAAGGCUACGAUGUCUAGGGGGUCUGAGAGGAUUAUCCCCACACUGGUACUGAGACACGGACCAGACUCCUACGGGAGGCAGCAGUGAGGAAUAUUGGACAAUGGGCGAAAGCCUGAUCCAGCCAUGCCGCGUGCAGGAAGACGGCCCUAUGGGUUGUAAACUGCUUUUUAUAGUGGGAAAUAAACCUCCGAACGUGUUCGGAGCUGAAGGUACCAUACGAAUAAGGAUCGGCUAACUCCGUG